This is a long non-coding RNA of Calliphora vicina (urban bluebottle blowfly), 881 nucleotides long. RefSeq lists it as uncharacterized. The transcript has 3 exons. The record is from RefSeq and is a predicted model, not a curated record. NCBI's taxonomy places the organism in Eukaryota, Metazoa, Arthropoda, Insecta, Diptera, Calliphoridae.
AUUUGAAAUAAUAGUUAUUGGUUAUAAAUAUUUACAAAAAAUCGAAAAAGAUUUGUUCAAUUUAUUAUAUUUAAUCAAAAAAUAAAAAAACUUGAAACUCUGAAAAUAUUAUGAAAAUAAAUUAUACAAAAUACCAAAAGCAACCUUUGCUUUUUAUGUCAAAACAAAUGUCAAUAAUUUUCAAAUAAAAAUAAAUAAACAAACUGAGAAGACGUUUUUCAAACCAAAUAAUUAUUAAAGAAAAUUAUAUAAUUCAAAUAAAGGCUGAGAAUUGUUCAAAAAUUAAUAAUAAUCUGAGAGGACGUAUUGAAUACAUUCAAAUAAAAAUAAAGAAGAAUAUAAUUCAAAUAAAGGCUAUUAAACAAGAAACAAAAAGCAAGUCAAAUUAAAUCAAAUGCAACAAAUUCAAAUGAACACCAACACGAUGAAAGAAGCCAGCCAACAAGAUAAAAAUAAUUCCAACUUUGCAGAAGCCAGCGAUUCUGAAAUAUUGUUAGAUUCAAAUCAACUUGAUUCGAACAAUUCAAACUGUGAAAAUAAAAAAGCAGAAGUUGGUUUCUUCCCAAAAUAUUAGAGAAACGCAAUAACCUUAUGGGGAAUCUCAAUAUAUGGACGUUUCUGUAUGUUGAUGUUAAUCAAAUCAUUGAAGUGCGAUCAAAACUGUUUAUGUUGCCGUUUCUAAUAGCAUGCAACAUACUAUAUGGUUUUAUUUACAUUUUGCGGCUUUCGAUACAAUUAGUAUUGACUUCUGUAGCCGAUGAAACUUUCAAAAUCAUAAUGAUAAUAUAAUAAUUUAUAAAAUUUUGUUCAUCUUCGGAUAUGUUUAAAAAUGUUUAUUAAAUUUACUGUUUUUAAUUUGUUAUAUUUGCUUAUGUAUUGUA